This 503-nucleotide ribosomal RNA is filed under the name uncultured bacterium. Its description in RNAcentral is "partial 16S ribosomal RNA". It matches the Rfam family "Bacterial small subunit ribosomal RNA", at positions 30 to 523 of the family's 1533-position model. The record is from RNAcentral.
AUUGAACGCUGGCGGCAGGCUUAACACAUGCAAGUCGAGCGGGGUGAUGGUGCUUGCACUAUCACUUAGCGGCGGACGGGUGAGUAAUGCUUAGGAAUCUGCCUAUUAGUGGGGGACAACAUCUCGAAAGGGAUGCUAAUACCGCAUACGUCCUACGGGAGAAAGCAGGGGAUCACUUGUCACCUUGCGCUAAGAGAUGAGCCUAAGUCGGAUUAGCUAGUUGGUGGGGUAAAGGCCUACCAAGGCGACGAUCUGUAGCGGGUCUGAGAGGAUGAUUCGCCACACUGGGACUGAGACACGGCCCAGACUCCUACGGGAGGCAGCAGUGGGGAAUAUUGGACAAUGGGGGGAACCCUGAUCCAGCCAUGCCGCGUGUGUGAAGAAGGCCUUAUGGUUGUAAAGCACUUUAAGCGAGGAGGAGGCUCUUUUGGUUAAUACCCAAGAUGAGUGGACGUUACUCGCAGAAUAAGCACCGGCUAACUCUGUGCCAGCCGCCGCCGUAA